RNAcentral lists this RNase P RNA (345 nucleotides) under Pseudomonadota bacterium. RNAcentral describes it as "Proteobacteria bacterium RNase P RNA component class A". It matches the Rfam family "Bacterial RNase P class A". From Rfam's summary of the family: Ribonuclease P (RNase P) is a ubiquitous endoribonuclease, found in archaea, bacteria and eukarya as well as chloroplasts and mitochondria. Its best characterised activity is the generation of mature 5'-ends of tRNAs by cleaving the 5'-leader elements of precursor-tRNAs. The record is from RNAcentral. Lineage: Bacteria; Pseudomonadati; Pseudomonadota.
GGAGUCGGCCAGGCAGUCGCUGCGGGUAACCGCAGAGGAAAGUCCGGGCUCCGUAGGGCAAGGUGCCAGGUAACGCCUGGAGGGCGUGAGCCUAUGGAAAGUACCACAGAAAACAUACCGCCUAAGUCCGCAAGGGCCGGUAAGGGUGAAAAGGUGCGGUAAGAGCGCACCGCGCGGGUGGCAACACACCGCGGCACGGUAAACCCCACCUGGAGCAAGGCCGCAUAGGGGAACAAUGGCGUGGCCCGCGCCGUUCCCGGGUAGGCCGCACGAGGUGCGUGGCGACACGCGCCCCAGAUGAAUGACUGUCCACGACAGAACCCGGCUUAUCGGCCGACUCUAAUU